UAACAAGGCGGGCUGGACACCCCCCGCUGGGCACUGCUUCACGGCGUGCGCGGCGGGGCCGGCCCUGCUGAAUUAUUCACCCGUGUCUUUUGCGUACUUCUUGUUUCCUGGGUGGGCUCGCCCGCCCUCAGGACCAACCACAAACCUUUUGCAAUAGCAAUCAGCGUCAGUAACAACGUAAUAAAUUACAACUUUCAACAACGGAUCUCUUGGUUCUGGCAUCGAUGAAGAACGCAGCGAAAUGCGAUACGUAGUGUGAAUUGCAGAAUUCAGUGAAUCAUCGAAUCUUUGAACGCACAUUGCGCCCUUUGGUAUUCCAAAGGGCAUGCCUGUUCGAGCGUCAUUUGUACCCUCAAGCUUUGCUUGGUGUUGGGCGUCUUUUGUCUCCAGUUCGCUGGAGACUCGCCUUAAAGUCAUUGGCAGCCGGCCUACUGGUUUCGGAGCGCAGCACAAGUCGCGCUCUUUGCCAGCCAAGGUCAGCGUCCAGCAAGCCUUUUUUUCAACCUUUGACCUCGGAUCAGGUAGGGAUACCCGCUGAACUUAAGCA
Molecule: ribosomal RNA, 547 nt
Filed under: uncultured fungus
Lineage: Eukaryota; Fungi
Description: eukaryotic LSU rRNA
Rfam family: 5.8S ribosomal RNA (bases 190-343)
Source: RNAcentral